This 326-nucleotide ribosomal RNA is filed under the name uncultured eukaryote. RNAcentral's name for it is "partial 18S ribosomal RNA". It matches the Rfam family "Eukaryotic small subunit ribosomal RNA", at positions 1470 to 1796 of the family's 1831-position model. The record is from RNAcentral.
CCCUUAGAUGUUCUGGGCUGCACGCGCGCUACACUGGUGCACUCAACGAGUUUACGACCUUGCCCGAUAGGGUUGGGUAAUCUUUUUAAAAUGCAUCGUGAUGGGGAUAGAUUAUUGCAAUUAUUAAUCUUCAACGAGGAAUUCCUAGUAAGCGCGAGUCACCAGCUCGUGCUGAUUACGUCCCUGCCCUUUGUACACACCGCCCGUCGCUCCUACCGAUUGAGUGCUCAGGUGAAUAAUUCGGACUGCAGCAAUGUUUGGAUCCCGAACGUUGCAGCGGAAAGUUUAGUGAACCUUAUCACUUAGAGGAAGGAGAAGUCGUAACA